RNAcentral lists this ribosomal RNA (82 nucleotides) under Salmonella enterica subsp. enterica serovar Corvallis. RNAcentral's name for it is "partial 16S ribosomal RNA". It matches the Rfam family "Bacterial small subunit ribosomal RNA", at positions 1 to 82 of the family's 1533-position model. Lineage: Bacteria; Pseudomonadati; Pseudomonadota; Gammaproteobacteria; Enterobacterales; Enterobacteriaceae. The record is from RNAcentral.
AAAUUGAAGAGUUUGAUCAUGGCUCAGAUUGAACGCUGGCGGCAGGCUUAACACAUGCAAGUCGAACGGUAACAGGAAGCAG